RNAcentral lists this ribosomal RNA (502 nucleotides) under uncultured Glomeromycotina. RNAcentral's name for it is "partial small subunit ribosomal RNA". It matches the Rfam family "Eukaryotic small subunit ribosomal RNA", at positions 591 to 1092 of the family's 1831-position model. Lineage: Eukaryota; Fungi; Glomeromycota. The record is from RNAcentral.
CCAAUAGCGUAUAUUAAAGUUGUUGCAGUUAAAAAGCUCGUAGUUGAACUUCGGGGUUUACUCAUUGGUCAGGCUUAAUUGUCUGUACUGGUGAGAUGAAUCUCUACCUUCUGAGGAACUUUCAUGCCAUUUAUUUGGUGUGAUGGGAAAUCAGGACUGUUACUUUGAAAAAAUUAGAGUGUUUAAAGCAGGCUAACGUCUGAAUACAUUAGCAUGGAAUAAUGAAAUAGGACGGACUGAUUCUAUUUCGUUGGUUUCUAGGAUCACCGUAAUGAUUAAUAGGGAUAGUUGGGGGCAUUAGUAUUCAAUUGUCAGAGGUGAAAUUCUUGGAUUUAUUGAAGACUAACUACUGCGAAAGCAUUUGCCAAGGAUGUUUUCAUUAAUCAAGAACGAAAGUUAGGGGAUCGAAGACGAUCAGAUACCGUCGUAGUCUUAACCAUAAACUAUGCCGACUAGGGAUCGGAUGAUGUUAAUUUUUUAAUGACUCAUUCGGCGCCUUACG